AUUGAACGCUGGCGGCAGGCUUAACACAUGCAAGUCGAGCGGGGAAGGGUAGCUUGCUACCUAACCUAGCGGCGGACGGGUGAGUAAUGCUUAGGAAUCUGCCAUUUAGUGGGGGACAACAUUCCGAAAGGAAUGCUAAUACCGCAUACGUCCUACGGGAGAAAGCAGGGGAUCUUCGGACCUUGCGCUAAAUGAUGAGCCUAAGUCGGAUUAGCUAGUUGGUGGGGUAAAGGCCUACCAAGGCGACGAUCUGUAGUGGGUCUGAGAGGAUGAUCCGCCACACUGGGACUGAGACACGGCCCAGACUCCUACGGGAGGCAGCAGUGGGGAAUAUUGGACAAUGGGCGGAAGCCUGAUCCAGCCAUGCCGCGUGUGUGAAGAAGGCCUUAUGGUUGUAAAGCACUUUAAGCGAGGAGGAGGCUACUUAGAUUAAUACUCUAGGAUAGUGGACGUUACUCGCAGAAUAAGCACCGGCUAACUCUGUGCCAGCCGCCGCAGUAA
RNAcentral lists this ribosomal RNA (501 nucleotides) under uncultured bacterium. RNAcentral describes it as "partial 16S ribosomal RNA". It matches the Rfam family "Bacterial small subunit ribosomal RNA", at positions 30 to 523 of the family's 1533-position model. The record is from RNAcentral.